This 223-nucleotide ribosomal RNA is filed under the name uncultured bacterium. RNAcentral's name for it is "partial 16S ribosomal RNA". It matches the Rfam family "Bacterial small subunit ribosomal RNA", at positions 524 to 745 of the family's 1533-position model. The record is from RNAcentral.
UACGAAGGGGGCUAGCGUUGUUCGGAAUUACUGGGCGUAAAGGGCGCGUAGGCGGUUGUGUCAAGUCAGGCGUGAAAGCCCCGGGCUCAACCUGGGAACCGCGCUUGAGACUGGCACGCUAGAGUUCGGGAGAGGAUGGUGGAAUUCCCAGUGUAGAGGUGAAAUUCGUAGAUAUUGGGAAGAACACCGAUGGCGAAGGCAGCCAUCUGGACCGACACUGACG